CCUACGGGUGGCAGCAGUCGAGAAUCAUUCACAAUGGGGGAAACCCUGAUGGUGCGACGCCGCGUGGGGGAAUGAAGGUCUUCGGAUUGUAAACCCCUGUCAUGUGGGAGAAAAUUAAAAAGAUAGUACCACAAGAGGAAGAGACGGCGAACGCGGUGCCAGCAGCCGCGGUAAUACAGAGGUCUCAAGCGUUGUUCGGAAUCACUGGGCGUAAAGCGUGCGGAGGCUGUGUCGUAAGUCGUGGGUGAAAGGCGCGGGCUCAACCCGCGGACGGCUCAUGAUUCUGCGAGACUAGAGUAAAGGAGAGGUAACCGGAAUUCUCGGUGUAGCAGUGAAAUGCGUAGAUAUCGAGAGGAACACUCGUGGCGAAGGCGGGUUCCUGGACAUUAACUGACGCUGAGGCACGAAGGCCAGGGGAGCGAAAGGGAUUAGAUACCCUUGUAGUC
This 446-nucleotide ribosomal RNA is filed under the name uncultured bacterium. RNAcentral's name for it is "partial 16S ribosomal RNA". It matches the Rfam family "Bacterial small subunit ribosomal RNA", at positions 338 to 795 of the family's 1533-position model. The record is from RNAcentral.